This 450-nucleotide ribosomal RNA is filed under the name uncultured bacterium. Its description in RNAcentral is "partial 16S ribosomal RNA". It matches the Rfam family "Bacterial small subunit ribosomal RNA", at positions 354 to 796 of the family's 1533-position model. The record is from RNAcentral.
GUGGGGAAUAUUGGACAAUGGGCGAAAGCCUGAUCCAGCCAUGCCGCGUGUGUGAAGAAGGUCUUCGGAUUGUAAAGCACUUUAAGUUGGGAGGAAGGGCAGUAAGUUAAUACCUUGCUGUUUUGACGUUACCGACAGAAUAAGCACCGGCUAACUUCGUGCCAGCAGCCGCGGUAAUACGAAGGGUGCAAGCGUUAAUCGGAAUUACUGGGCGUAAAGCGCGCGUAGGUGGUUUUGUAAGUUGGAGGUGAAGUCCCCGGGCUCAACCUGGGAACUGCAUCCAAAACUGCAUGACUAGAGUACGGUAGAGGGUAGUGGAAUUUCCUGUGUAGCGGUGAAAUGCGUAGAUAUAGGAAGGAACACCAGUGGCGAAGGCGACUACCUGGACUGAUACUGACACUGAGGUGCGAAAGCGUGGGGAGCAAACAGGAUUAGAUACCCGGGUAGUCC